Gallus gallus (chicken) is the source of this 571-nucleotide long non-coding RNA. NCBI's taxonomy places the organism in Eukaryota, Metazoa, Chordata, Aves, Galliformes, Phasianidae. The record is from Ensembl.
CAUUUAAGGGCCAGCCACUGAAGGGAGGGUAUCUCUUGGAUCUAGGCUGCUUCCUGAGGAGGAGUGUUCUGUAGCUAGUGAUCUUCACAAAUUGGGCUUCAUUUUGAGCCCAGACUGAACAGUAAUGGAUGCUAGUAAGAAUCACUUGUGAUGUAGCACUGGUUUCUGAAGCCAGAGUGAGGGUAUGCAUGAGAGUUAUGGCUGUGAUACUCUUUAACGUGGGGUUCUCUAGACUGCCUAAAAGUCAGCAUCAGAGGUUAAUGUGUCAGACAGACCAGGAUGUUUUAAGGUAUAGCUAACAAAACUUUACACUGAGGCUGAGCUGUACAUGGCCUAAAUAUAUUUCUGCCUCCUCAGCCAGCUGGAAAGAUGACAUGCUGUUGAGAAGAAAACCUUCAGAGAUGCAUUAAAUAGACUCUGAGAGCCAGAGGUGGAGGAAGCCAGUUGGAAAAUGAAGCAUACCUAGGAUAACUGUUACUAGAUAGCUGUUGUUAGAUAACUGCAGUUAAAUGGCUUUAUACCAGGCUUCUAGUGUUUUCAGAAAAUUGACGGUGCUCCUGUGUAUUCUCAG